CAUUCUUUCUUGAUUUUGCUUGUGUAUGUUUGUGUCCCUUUUCUUUUUGUUGGCUGUAGGUUUCAGAAUUAUGUAAUUGAAAUGUGGCACUUCAGAUAGCUUGUUCUUGGGUUUGUAAUAAAUUAAAUGUCUGAUUGUAUUGUGCAAAAAAGUGUAUCAUCAGACUUCUAGAAUUGUCGGAAAACAAAAUUUUCCAUCUUAGAUUAAGUCUAUGUUUUGGGAUAAAAGUAGAUAUGAUGUAUUCUAAUUGUCAUGGGAUAAUAAUAUAAGCA
This 272-nucleotide unclassified non-coding RNA is filed under the name Hevea brasiliensis (rubber tree). The record is from RNAcentral. Lineage: Eukaryota; Viridiplantae; Streptophyta; Magnoliopsida; Malpighiales; Euphorbiaceae.